CGGUAAUACGUAGGUGGCAAGCGUUAUCCGGAAUUAUUGGGCGUAAAGCGCGCGCAGGCGGUCUCUUAAGUCUGAUGUGAAAGCCCACGGCUCAACCGUGGAGGGUCAUUGGAAACUGGGAGACUUGAGUGCAGGAGAGAAAAGUGGAAUUCCACGUGUAGCGGUGAAAUGCGUAGAGAUGUGGAGGAACACCAGUGGCGAAGGCGGCUUUUUGGCCUGUAACUGACGCUGAGGCGCGAAAGCGUGGGGAGCAAACAGGAUUAGAUACCCUGGUAGUCCACGCCGUAAACGAUGAGUGCUAGGUGUUGGGGGGUUCCACCCUCAGUGCUGAAGUUAACACAUUAAGCACUCCGCCUGGGGAGUACGACCGCAAGGUUGAA
RNAcentral lists this ribosomal RNA (380 nucleotides) under uncultured bacterium. RNAcentral's name for it is "bacterial SSU rRNA". It matches the Rfam family "Bacterial small subunit ribosomal RNA", at positions 518 to 898 of the family's 1533-position model. The record is from RNAcentral.